RNAcentral lists this ribosomal RNA (497 nucleotides) under uncultured bacterium. Its description in RNAcentral is "partial 16S ribosomal RNA". It matches the Rfam family "Bacterial small subunit ribosomal RNA", at positions 28 to 507 of the family's 1533-position model. The record is from RNAcentral.
GAUGAACGCUGGCGGCGUGCCUAAUACAUGCAAGUCGAGCGAACGGACGAGAAGUUUGCUUCUCUGAUGUUAGCGGCGGACGGGUGAGUAACAUGUGGAUAACCUACCUAUAAGACUGGGAUAACUUCGGGAAACCGGAGCUAAUACCGGAGGAUAUUUUGAACCGCAUGGGUCAAAAGUGAAAGACGGUCUUGCUGUCACUUAUAGAUGGAUCCGGGCUGCAUUAGCUAGUUGGUAAGGUAACGGCUUACCAAGGCAACGAUGCAUAGCCGACGUGAGAGGGGGGUCGGCCACACGGGAGGGUGGCCGGGGACAUGAGGACUACGGGAGGCAGCAGUCGGGUAUCUUACGCAAUGGGGGAAAAUCUGACGGAGCGGGGGCGCGUGAGAGGUGGCGGUGUUCGGAUCGUAAAGACCUGUUAUGGGGGGUGAACAUAUGUGUAAGUAACUGUGCCCAGCUUGACGGUACCUAAUCAGAAAGCAACGGCUAACUACGUG